GACGAACGCUGGCGGCGUGCUUAACACAUGCAAGUCGAACGAGCCCGCCCCUGUUUUUGGGGGUGGGUUGAGUGGCGAACGGGUGAGUAUCACGUGAGUAACCUGCCCCCUGCUCCUGGAUAACUGCUUGAAAGGGCGGCUAAUACGGGGUGUGCCGGCUGGUCCGCAUGGGCCUGGUCGGGAUAGUUUCAUCUUCGGGUGUUUCGGUGGGGGAUGGGCUCGCGGCCUAUCAGCUUGUUGGUGGGGUGAUGGCCCACCAAGGCGGUGACGGGUAGCCGGCCUGAGAGGGUGGGCGGCCACACUGGGACUGAGACACGGCCCAGACUCCUGCGGGAGGCAGCAGUGGGGGGUAUUGCACAAUGGGCGGAAGCCUGAUGCAGCGACGUCGCGUGAGGGAUGGAGGCCUUCGGGUUGUGAACCUCUUUCUCCGGGGGUGAAGGCCCUGUCCGUUGCGGCGGGGUUGACGGUAGCCGGGGAUGAAGCGCCGGCUAACUACGUG
Molecule: ribosomal RNA, 499 nt
Filed under: uncultured bacterium
Lineage: Bacteria
Description: partial 16S ribosomal RNA
Rfam family: Bacterial small subunit ribosomal RNA
Source: RNAcentral